CUUGCCUGCACCUGCCGGCGACCGGCGCACGGGUGAGUAACACGUAUGGAACCUGCCCGCCACAGGGGGAUAACCCGGGGAAACCCGGCCUAAUACCCCAUGCCGCCCGGACCGGGCAUCCGGUCCGGGCGAAAGGAGGAAUCCGGUGGCGGCUGGGCAUGCGGCGCAUUAGCUUGACGGCGGGGUAACGGCCCACCGUGGCGACGAUGCGUAGGGGUUCUGAGAGGAAGGUCCCCCACACUGGAACUGGGACACGGACCAGACUCCUACGGGAGGCAGCAG
RNAcentral lists this ribosomal RNA (282 nucleotides) under uncultured bacterium. RNAcentral describes it as "partial 16S ribosomal RNA". It matches the Rfam family "Bacterial small subunit ribosomal RNA", at positions 69 to 354 of the family's 1533-position model. The record is from RNAcentral.